UACCAACAAACCAUUCAAUGAAUACGUGGAGGAGGGAAUAAUAGUGUUGCAGUGGCUUGGUAGUGACACGCGUCAUUAGCAUCUGCUAAUCAAAUAAAGAAAAAAAAAGAAAAAAAAAAUUGUCCCGUGUGGCUAGCGUGUUUUUAAAAAAUCAAAGCUGAUUAGGAAUUGGGGUUCUUGUAGGUAGAAGAUAACAUUUACCAAUUUAAAUUAAAAGGAAAGGAGGACGAAACUGCCAGUGUGGAAAAAUUUUUCAUUUUCCCCC
RNAcentral lists this long non-coding RNA (265 nucleotides) under Coffea arabica (coffee). RNAcentral describes it as "long non-coding RNA (CARA_LNC006417)". Lineage: Eukaryota; Viridiplantae; Streptophyta; Magnoliopsida; Gentianales; Rubiaceae. The record is from RNAcentral.